Molecule: ribosomal RNA, 389 nt
Filed under: uncultured bacterium
Lineage: Bacteria
Description: bacterial SSU rRNA
Rfam family: Bacterial small subunit ribosomal RNA
Source: RNAcentral
GAAGAACGCUGGCGGCGUGCUUAACACAUGCAAGUCGAGCGGUAAGGCCCUUUCGGGGGUACACGAGCGGCGAACGGGUGAGUAACACGUGGGUGACCUGCCCUCAGCUCUGGGAUAAGCCUGGGAAACCGGGUCUAAUACUGGAUAUGACUCCAUGACGCAUGUUGUGGGGUGGAAAGCCUUGUGCGGCUGAGGAUGGGCCCGCGGCCUAUCAGCUUGUUGGUGGGGUGAUGGCCUACCAAGGCGACGACGGGUAGCCGGCCUGAGAGGGCGACCGGCCACACUGGGACUGAGACACGGCCCAGACUCCUACGGGAGGGCAGCAGUGGGGAAUCUUGCGCAAUGGGCGAAAGCCUGACGCAGCGACGCCGCGUGAGGGAUGACGGCCU